RNAcentral lists this non-coding RNA (220 nucleotides) under Rhodobacter capsulatus. RNAcentral also lists the same sequence under 1 other name. Lineage: Bacteria; Pseudomonadati; Pseudomonadota; Alphaproteobacteria; Rhodobacterales. The record is from RNAcentral.
GCCCUUGGGGGCGUCAUCGGUCCCCCGCAGGCGGCGUCACGCACCAGGGGGGGAAAGAGGGAAUACGGUGCGGUGUAGCCAUCAGGCGCCAAAUCCGUGGCUGCCCCCGCAACUGUGAGCGGCGAGCGAUGCCGAAGAUGCCACUGGGCCUGCCGGUCCGGGAAGGCCGGCAAAGCGAAGACCCGCAAGCCAGGAGACCUGCCUGUGAUGCGCCCGGAUC